Molecule: long non-coding RNA, 3400 nt
Organism: Brachypodium distachyon (stiff brome)
Lineage: Eukaryota; Viridiplantae; Streptophyta; Magnoliopsida; Poales; Poaceae
Exons: 2
Source: RefSeq, a predicted model, not a curated record
UUCUGAAGCUUUUCUUAUGCAGUUUCUUUCGCAUUUAUCCUGUAGCCAUAUAGUUCGAUAGUUCUAUCGUUGUCAAACGAGUCAGUAAUGCAAAUGUUUUCAGUAGAGAGUGACGGAGUAUUUCGGAUGAAAGCAAGAGCAUUAUUAAAAAUUUGAUAAGAUCGACAAAUUCGGCGUGCUCUGAUGCUACAUGGAACACAUGCAGCUUCUGGGAAGCUAAAUCAGAAACGAAGUAAAAAAUAUUUUUGAUUAAUCUUUGCUGAAGAUAAAACACUGAACAGGCAGAACUACGUGACAGGAAACCCACUGACUAGCGCUUGCGAUCGAAACGCUAACUAUGGGACGAAAACCUGUCCUAGGUUGUUCAGUAGAAUACAGAAAAAAUAAAAUGCAAGUAUGAAACCUAAGUUUAAUGAAAUUGGACUUUAAGAAAAUUAUGACACUAUUUUGGAAUGAAUCCCUUCUGGUGCCGCAUGUCUUCGUACUUGUUCCUCUAUUUCUUGCGUGGUAUUGUGUUCAUCGGCGAAUCUACUAGGAGAGCCGGUAGCUGUCGCCUGAACAUUAUCAUCCUGAAUAGUAGGGUAGAAUUAGUCUCAUAGGUGUUCAUUAGUCCAUACCCGUGUGGUUCAAACUAUGUGUGUAACGCUUGUGUAACUCGUGGCCCGUCCAAAAGCUCCAUGUUCAUCAACAUGUAGAGGCCGCAUGACAUGCUGCAGUUAGAGAUAGGUUGUUUUAAUUAUGCAUAUUGUAAAUACCCAAUCCACAAUGCACGGUGACGUGUACCAUACCCAUCCCGUUGUUGGGGUACGUUUUGAACUUGGACUUGCCAAGUAUUGACUUUAUAAUCAGGCCAGUCACUCUUUUCGCACUCCAUAUGGGAUGCUACUUGAAGGUGGGCUUCCAUUCCCUUGAGCUGAAAGACAUGAUCAAAAUAAUUUUGGUAAUAAAUGGAAUAUGCGAGCUAACUUUUUAGGUCGAUAUGUUUAUAGGAAGCAUGGAACUUACCAUGCUCCGUAAUUCCACGUGGUUUUUCUUAUAAUCUUUUGAAUUUGUGCACAGCGAGUCUAGAAUUUUCUCCGUUUCUUGGCGCUGACGACGAUUGUGUACCAAUGCCUGUUAUUCUGGUUUCCUGGCAGGAAGAUCUGCAAUGAAAGUAUAAAUAUUUUUGGACAAGUAAAACAAAAUUGACAUGUCUGUAGGAUAGUUAGACAUACCAUGUCACUGCAAAUGUAGUUUUCCCCCUUUAGAGAAUUUUGUUUCAGCAGUACUUGGUCCGUGCAUUUUUUAUGCUCCCCAUCUCUUAUUAACAUGGUUGCCUCACUUGCCCUCUCGAUAAAGACCUUCCCGUCAGCCCUUGUGUCUGGGUUGAGCAUGUGCGUCAUCCUUCUUAUGGCUGCGUCGAUGAGCUGGAUCGCGUUGAAACAUACGAAAUUAGCAUUUACAAUUGCUAACAGCAAUAUAUAGUAUAUCAUAAGUGAACUUACGACGUCGUCCAACCAUCCGUUUUGAUUUUCAAGUGUGGAAGAUGUGAGGCAUAUCAAGUGUUCUCGAUAGAUCACCAUUUCCUCUAUGCGAAGUAAUUUAGUGUCUUUAGGUGAGGAAUUGACAUAGUCAAUAACAUCUUGCUCCUCUGCGGUAAUUUGAGCCACUGGAGUACUCUUGGGUUUCAGAGUACUGUUGCCUUUGGGAGGAUUUCUGGAAUGUGGAAAGUAAACAAAAUCUUUGUUCUUGUGUGACCUGGAUCUCCUUUUCCUUUGGGCACGCCCCCCGUGGUGGCUCAUUAACGAUGCAUCUUCAUCCCGGGAGUCUUCUAUUUCUUCCUGCGUACCUAUGCUCUUCGUCUCAGAAUUGUCCUGUAAAUUGGAGGUAUUUAGUAAGAAGAGUCAGUACAGACUCCAUUAAUUACUGCAAGUCCUUACGUUGAAGUCUUUGCCCAAGUUACGUGCAUGGUAUAUGUAUGUUUCUGGACGCAUGUUGUCCUGCAUAGUUGUAAUGUUUGUUAGUAUUUGAUACUUCAAAAAUAAUUAGUAUACUAAUUAGUAAUACGCAUGUUGACAAUGUUGGAGUCUUACAUCACUGUUGCGACUGUCUAUCCGCAUUCUCUUGGAUGCAAUUUCCUUCUCAAGGGCUGCCAUUCUUUUCAGGAUGUCUGUUUCGAAAAUACGCAGCUCCUCCUGCACUUUCUGGGACAUCUCAAAACUCUUCUUUGACAGCCUAAUGAACUCCUUUAUGGCAGAAAGAAGUAGAUCAUUAAUAGUCUAACACAUGCUAAACUAUGGACUCUAGCAAACGACUAAUUACCGGCCCGGUAUUUUCUUCCUUUUCCGGAUUAUACGGCGGUGACGGUGACCUAGGCUUUUCCCAUGCUGCCAUUAGGUCCAUGAUUAUCUGAAAAAGGUACAAAUGUGUGUACCUCUCCAGCUUCCCGGCCGUGCUUGUCUAAUACAGCUUGGACCUUGUUGGCCUUUGUCUCAUUCCAGUGUUGGAUGAGGGGUGUCUCCCGGCUGCUGUAGUCUAUUGUUCUGUCGAGUCUGUCCGCUCGAUUCUUCUCCCAAAACCAGACCUGCAGCAUGUAAGAAUUGGUAAGUAUGUGUCCUCUACAUAGUUAAAUGUGUACAACCACGUGAAAAUAGUGUCAGCCAACUUGGAGCAACUGUAGGUUUCCUUGGAGGUUUAUUGUCCCACUCGAGGAUGCUCCUCCGGUAUCUUGUCGGCGCUUAUUGUACUGCCUUAUUUCCGACAUCAGAUGAUCGUGUGUGAGUUUCGAGAAGUUUGUUGCCUGAAUUGAUUCAUUGCUGUAUACAUAUUUCAAGUAUUCUGCGGAGACAUAUCGAUUUAUCGUUGGGCAGAAUACGCAGCCAAUUGCGUAUAGAAGAAAAGACUUGAGACCAUGAUUGUUGUUAAUCAUGUUUUCACGCAACCUCGCGAAAGUGAUUCUUGUCUCAUUUUUAUCUUUUAUUUCCUCAAACAGGCUUGUCAAUUCUUCUUUCCGAGGUUCAAGGAUGAACCCACCAUGUCCAAUCAAACCAAAUAUGUUUUCAACAUCGGUCGGUCUCAUCUGCAAUGGACAUCGUUGGAUCAUGAAGGAAUCUGUAUCUUCAUGAUAUGUUUCGGCUAUCCACCUACAUAAAUUUCGGCGAAUCGUCAUGGGCUCUAUCUUCAGUAUGUCCUGUAGAUUGAGCUUGUCAAUAUCUGCUAAUAUUUCUGGAUGUAAGUCUUUAAUGCCCUUGACGAACCCCAUGAUUGAACACACUUGGGUAGUCUGAUCAUUGAAAAGUUAGGCAUAAUUACAUAUCUCAGUAAAGGAAUGUAUAGAAACGACGAUGCAACAUUGUAAAAGCAUAAAUGUAUAUAACAGAAUAAUCAUUUUUAUAGUUAUAUGUCUCCUUACUCUACUUUA